Molecule: long non-coding RNA, 255 nt
Organism: Gossypium arboreum
Lineage: Eukaryota; Viridiplantae; Streptophyta; Magnoliopsida; Malvales; Malvaceae
Exons: 3
Source: RefSeq, a predicted model, not a curated record
UGGUUCAUCUUCUUCAUUAAAUGACCGAAUAUCACAAUGAAAAAUAGGGUUUGAAUGCUCAAAAUAGUUCGGCACUUUGGGGGAGCAAUUAUCAAGAAAUGAGAAAAUCGAAUUUGGAUCGAGGAAGUCGAAAAUUAUCAAAUAAUCGUUCCGGUCUGUUCGUGUUAGUACAAGCCAACAAAGAACCUGAAGCAUCAGCAUCGAAAGGAAAGGAGAAAGUCAUCGAGGACUAAAACGGGAGAAUUACGGUGUGUA